UACGUAGGGCGCAAGCGUUGUCCGGAAUUAUUGGGCGUAAAGAGCUCGUAGGCGGCCUGUCGCGUCCGCUGUGAAAUCCCAGGGCUUAACCCUGGGCGUGCAGUGGAUACGGGCUGGCUGGAGGCAGGCAGGGGAGAACGGAAUUCCCGGUGUAGCGGUGAAAUGCGCAGAUAUCGGGAAGAACACCGGUGGCGAAGGCGGCUCACUGGCUCGUAACUGACGCUCAGGCGCGACAGCGUGGGGAUCAAACAGG
Molecule: ribosomal RNA, 253 nt
Filed under: uncultured bacterium
Lineage: Bacteria
Description: partial 16S ribosomal RNA
Rfam family: Bacterial small subunit ribosomal RNA
Source: RNAcentral